This is a long non-coding RNA of Daphnia pulex (common water flea), 334 nucleotides long. RefSeq lists it as uncharacterized. The transcript has 3 exons. The record is from RefSeq and is a predicted model, not a curated record. NCBI's taxonomy places the organism in Eukaryota, Metazoa, Arthropoda, Branchiopoda, Diplostraca, Daphniidae.
UCAUGUCUGUCUGUGACCUGACUAACUUAAGAUUCAAAACUCAUUACUAGAUGUCGCCAGGUCGCCCAUGUUGACAUUCUGACAUCGUGAAAUUUCAAUGAAUCCUGUGAUUUCAAAUGCCAAAUUGAACUUCGUAUCAUAUAUGCAUACUGCCAGUAUUCCAACAAGUUGACUUAGCGCUCAGUCAAUUUCCACCCAUUAAACCCAUCAUGCUGUCAAGCCUAAAACUCAUGUUUGAUGCACACACAUACUGGAAUACAAAUGUUCUGAGAUAAGGAUCUUUUCCGAAUCUCACAAUUUUGGUGGUGUACCCUGCAACAGCAUGUUUGUUGUU